RNAcentral lists this ribosomal RNA (492 nucleotides) under uncultured bacterium. RNAcentral describes it as "partial 16S ribosomal RNA". It matches the Rfam family "Bacterial small subunit ribosomal RNA", at positions 29 to 507 of the family's 1533-position model. The record is from RNAcentral.
AGUGAACGCUGGCGGUAGGCCUAACACAUGCAAGUCGAACGGCAGCACAGUAAGAGCUUGCUCUUACGGGUGGCGAGUGGCGGACGGGUGAGGAAUACAUCGGAAUCUACUUUUUCGUGGGGGAUAACGUAGGGAAACUUACGCUAAUAACGCAUACGACCUACGGGUGAAAGCAGGGGAUCUUCGGACCUUGCGCGAUUGAAUGAGCCGAUGUGGGAUUGGCUAGUUGGGGGGGUAAAGGCCCACCAAGGCGACGAUCCGAAGCUGGUGUGAGAGGAUGAUCAGCCACACUGGAACUGAGACACGGUCCAGACUCCUACGGGAGGCAGCAGUGGGGAAUAUUGGACAAUGGGCGCAAGCCUGAUCCAGCCAUACCGCGUGGGUGAAGAAGGCCUUCGGGCUGUAAAGCCCUUUUGUUGGGAAAGAAAAGCAGCAGGUUAAUACCCCGCUGUUCUGACGGUACCCAAAGAAUAAGCACCGGCUAACUUCGUG